This 8795-nucleotide long non-coding RNA is filed under the name Lactuca sativa (garden lettuce). Its description in RNAcentral is "long non-coding RNA (LSAT_LNC000666)". The record is from RNAcentral. Lineage: Eukaryota; Viridiplantae; Streptophyta; Magnoliopsida; Asterales; Asteraceae.
AAUUGUGAGACUAUCCCACAUUCCCUUAGAUAGUCGAGGAACUCUGAACUAAGAUACUCACCACCACGAUCGGAUCGAAGCAUCUUAAUGUUCCUGCCCAAUUGAUUCUCGACUUCCUGUUUAAAUUCCUUAAACCUCUCGAAAGUCUCUGACUUAUGCUUGAUCAAGUAGACAUAUCCAUAUCUACUAUAAUCAUCAGUAAAAGUCAAAUAAUAACGAUUAGCAUCCCUUGUGGCAUGUUUGAAUGGUCCACACACAUCCGUGUGUAUAAGGUCCAACAAACCUUCACCCCUCUCACACGAACCUGUGAAGGGUGACUUUGUCAUUUUUCCAAGUAAGCAUGAUUCGCAACUAUCAUCUGACUUUAGGUCAAACGACUCCAAGACUCCAUCCUUUUGGAGUUGGCCUAUGCGUUUCUUGCUUAUAUGUCCAAGACGACAAUGCCAUAAAGAUGCUUUAUCCAAGUUAUUAUUAGUAGAAUCAAUACACAAAACAUUAUUUCCCAAGUUAUCUACAACAGAUACAGCUUCAUACACACCAUCACAAGGUAAUGCUUUAAAAUAAAAGACAUUAUUAUAGAAAACAUCUAUAGAACCAACUUCAUUAUUAAAUGAAAAGGUAAACCCUUGUUUGUACAAAGCAUGAAAGGAAAUAAUAUUUCUUGCCAUUCCUGGCGAAUAACAACACUUAUUCAAAUCUAAACUAAACCCACUACUUAGCGAUAAAGUAUAAACUCCAAUCUUGGUAACAGGUAUAGCUUUCCUAUUCCCCAUGAUCAAGUUUAUCCUUCCUUGCUCCACAUCCUCACUUCUUCUUAGUCCCUGCAAGUCACAACAAAUGUGAAUACCACACCCGGUAUCAAGGACCCAAGAAUUAGAAUGGGGUGAGUUAUUAGAAAUGAUAGUGUAAAUACCUGCAUGGUUGGGUUUAACUUUCCCAUCCUUCACAUCUUGCUGGUAUUUUGGGCAGUUCCGCUUCCAAUGAGCUUUUUCAUGGCAAUAGAAGCAUUCAGCCUCUUUUGGGUCAGAAGAAGGAGUAACGAAACCUUUCUUGGUUCCACUUGAAGAAGAGCCAUCAAGGGUCCGAGCCUUGGUACCCUUAGAAGAGCUCUUUCUCUUCCUCCCUCGACUUUUCCCGAUUGCCAAAACCGGAGUAGAGUUUUGAGUAGGAGUGAUAGCAACCGACUUCCCCUUAAGACCUGUUUCUGCGGUCUUGAGAAGUCCCUGAAGUUUGCUGAGGGUGACUUCUUCCUUGUUCAUGUGAUAUGUCAUGCGGAAUUGAUCAUAGCACGAUGGUAAGGAAUGCAAAAUAAUAUCUAUUGCAAGAUCCUCCGGGAAGUUCACAUUAAGCUUCAGCAAACGAUCCACAUACCUUUGCAUUUUCUGCAUGUGGCUCGUGACGGAUUCCCCGUCCUUCAUCAUGGUUGUUAUCAUGGAGCAGAUGAUUUCAUACCUCUCUUGUCUUGCACUUUGAUGGUAUCUUUCCAUCAAAUCUUGGUGCAUGUCAUAAGGGUAGAAAUCCUCAUAAGACUUUUGGAGUUCCGCUGUCAUCGUGGCCAUCAUGAUGCAAGCCACUUUCGUAGCAUCCCUUUCAUGUGCCCGAAAUUCAGCGAUCUCCUGAGGAGUUGCAGUGGACUCAUCAAUCUCCUUAAGCUCCUUGUCAAGGACAUAUUCUUUGUCCUCGUAGCGGGUAAUCAUCCUGAUGUUUCUGAUCCACUCAUUGAAGUUGGAUCCAUCAAAGGUGACUUUCCCACACAAGUUCAUAAGGGUAAAGGAGCCAUUAGGAUUAGAGCCAGAAGCAUUGUUGAAAGACAUCUGAAGGAAAGAGGACAAGAUUAGUUUAGAUAUAAGAGAGUCCUUAAUAAAACACCCAAAUGUAAUAUUAAGGCUAGGAUCCAAUCACAAUAUAAUAUAACUUAGAAGAGGUAUGCCGUAAUCUAAGCUAUAUCAUAUUUGAAAGGUAGGUGAAUGACGAUUCACCAAUUUCCACCACGAAAACCGCAAUAUUUUAGUAUUAGGUUUUUGAAUGGUUCUUAGAAAUUCCUAGAUUCUUUGAGAUUCAAUGAACUUUUCAAAGGCAUGUUUCAAUCUCGAGUGUGCCCUCCAAGUUUUGUGACUGGGAUACCGAGGAUCACAAAACGAGGUGUGAAGUAACCAUGCAAAUCACUUGGUACCCUUAAAGUUUAUCACUCAAUCGAUGUGCCGGUUAACCACACACGCUCCAUCGAUACUAUAAUAAACCCUAAGUCACCCUUUACCUACCUUGUUAAGUCCAAGUUAGUGUGCCGGUUAACCACACACGCUCCACCAACGACUUAAUCAAAGUGUAAAGUGUAAUUUCAUGGAAUAGCACCUUAUUCACAUUUUUCCUAAAGUAACUAAGAUUGGGAAUUUAAUAAAACAUUUAGUUACUUUAUAAUAUUCAUCAUACUUUGAAUGAGAAUUAAUAAGUCCUUGUCUUACCCGUUCGGCUAACGACCCUCCACCGAUCAAGCAAGCGGUGGGUGAGAGUGGACACCCAUUAAGUCACCAUUUUAUAGGCAACAACCUUAUACCCACCUUAUAGACCGGCUUCGUGAAUGAGGCGUACUAGCGGUAAGACGACUUUGUUCUUAUACAUAUAUAUAUAAUUAUUAAAUCAUAAUAAUAUAAGUAUAAGGGUUGAAUUUUAACUUUUAAAAUUCUAGGGGUUGGAACUAAAGUUUUAACUUAACUUUACUUGUUCCAAAACUUGAGGGCAAGUUUUGUAAACUUUCAAAACUUUUCAUUUCUUGUAACUUAUGAGUUUAAUAGAGUAAUAAAAUGAGGACUUUUCAUUUUUCCUAACUCUUGUGUUCUUUUAAUGGUUUUUAAUCCAAGAGACUUUUGGUUUUCCAUAACUUGAGGACAAGUUAUGGACUCCAUUAAAACACAUUAUGAUCAUGAAUUAAUCUACCACAUAGGUUACAAAUAAUUCCUAUGAUCAUCUAAACAUCAUAAGAACAAGAAUAUGAAUAUGAACACUUUCAAGAAUCAAAAUCACAUUUAAUCUUUGUAAUUUUGAUAACUAGUUGUUGUAAAUGAGUUAGAAAAGACAUUACACCUUCUAAAAUAAGUUUUCAAGUACCAAAACAUUUUAGGGUAAUGAUUCUAAUCCAUUUCCAGCAACUCAAGUCGAAAUUCUGCACUCUGUCGACCCUACUCGCCGAGUGCAUAAACCUACUCGCCGAGUAGGUUGAAGAUACACAUGAACUCGACGAGUCCUCCCCAUGGACUCGCCGAGUCCAUCAGUCAGACAGCAGAAUUUUCGACUUUCUUCAACUUUUAAGCACAAAUAACAAACAAACAAGCCUAGGCUCUGAUACCACUGAUGGGUUUUGAGCAUUCUAACACUUCCUAAGUGUACAUGCAACCCUAAUAACCUUGGAUCUAUGUUUGUCUAAUUAUCAUGCAAAGUUGAAUUCCAAGGUUAUAUUCCUAUCUAGCAUACAUGGGGAACAAUUUUAACUUGAAUCAUAGAUAGAAUAACUUACCUUGUUGUUGCUUGUGUUCCUUGAAACCUUGUGAGCCUAGCACCCCAAGUGUGAUGCCUCAAAUGCUUCACACAACACCAAAUGCUCUUGGAAAGACUCUUGAGAUAACACACACUUCUCAAAAUCGGCCAAGCCCUCUAGUUUCUUAGUGUUCAACUUGUGUAGCCAAUUUUGUGGAGAAUGGGACUCUUAUAUAGUGUUGGCACAUCUAGGGUUACACCAUGUAAACCCUAAUGUGUCAUGACUCUUCAUUUCCAUGACCCAUGGGUUUGUAACUCCCAUGGAGCAUCCAUGGAGCAUCCUAUGGGUAGAACCCAACUUGAUAAUCCAUGGAGCCUCUUAGCCCACUAUACAAGAUAUGGAUGAUUUACAUAAUCAACCCAUAUAUUUAAUUAGUUAUCCUUUGAUCACUUAAUUAAUUCCAAAUUAAUUCUUUGAUCAACUAAUCAAAUAAUAUUAUUAAUAUAUUAGAACUUAUAAUAUAUUAAUAAUCUCCAAGUGUUAUUUCUCUCAUUUAGUCUAUCCAAUUGCAUGGUGCCAUGCAACCCAAAUGGACCAUGCCGGGUCGGGUCAAGUACAAGCCCGAAAUAGUUAUGGACUUAGACACCUUAUCGAACAGUCAUGAUCUUGUUGUUUCUUAUUGAUUCUUUAGCCAAUAUUUCUUCCACUGUUAACAAAGAAGAAAUGGCUUCUAUUAGGUUCUCAAGAGUCAAAGAUCAAGGGAAUGUUCAAGGGUGUUGUGACUGAUACUUAGGAGAGGAUUGAUACUACCUUGAAGUCUUUCAAGUUCCAUGUUACAAAGGUCCAAAAUAUGGCAAAGGAGGGAUAUGAAUUGAUAAAGAAGAGAUUAUCGACAUUCAAGGAGUCCAUUGAACUAAAAGUUCAACAAGUUCAUGAUCUUAUUACGUCAAAAGUGAAAAAUAUUGAUGGAUUAUUUAUGGUUGCACAAAAGAAUGUCGAUUUCCUGCUUUUAGCUACCAGAACGUUAGUCGAAGAUAUUCAAGAUUUUAAUGUCGAUUAUAAAGUUGAACUAGAAGAGAAGAAUGGAAAAGAUGAAGCAGUGUAAAAGUAUUGAAACUUCUCUUAAUACUUUUCAAGAAGAAAUCUCAAAGUAUGCAAACCAUUCAUCAUCUUCGAUGGUGCAAAUGUCAAAGGUCGUGUCUUCGAUAAAAGCUUCUUCCGAAUCCCAACUUGCACCUAUUCUUGAUCUGGUGUUGUGACUGCCAACGAAUGCUCCAUGUGCUUCACAAGUGUCACAAGAGGGAGAUAAGGGUGGUUCAUCAAAAUUAGGAGGAGAAGAUAAAGGAAAUUUUUUUGGGAAGGUCUUCUCUCAUCAAAUACCUAUUCCUAUUCCAAGAAAACAAGUUUAAACAAUAGAAACAACUGUAACUUCAAGUUCAGUUGUCACUCCAAAUGUUGAAGUAGAUGUGUCUAAGCUUCAUUCAAAGAAGAGCUUAAGAAUUCAUUAAGGUGAGUCUUCAAUAGUCAAGCGAACAACAAGAACAGAAGCAAGGAAAGACAAAUGCAACGGGUUGUGUUGUCUGAUGAAGAAAAGAAUAAGUUGAAAGAACUAGAGAUAGAGAAGCUGAAAUAACUGAAUAGCUUCUUGAGGAAAAGGGAAAAUGAUCCUCUUAGGAUGAACAAGGGGAAGUAAAUAAUACACAUAAUUAUGAAACCACUAAAACUGUGUCUUUUGGUGAAGCAGAUGCAUUCGAGAAAAUGCAGAAGGAAAGGUACACAAUUGAAAAUUGACCAAUGCAACAACUUGAUUUUCCUUUCAACCGUAUGAUAUUCAUAAUUGUACAAAUCAAUUUUUCUUAUAAUUUCCAUGAAUAUGAAGCAUUCAAAUACUUCAAGAUAAGGUUUCAUGUAGUGCUUGGAAAGAAAAAUGGGGGGGGGGGGAGAUUUGAUCCUUGAAAAAGAUUGUGAAGCUGGUGUCAAUAUCUAAGGAUGAUAUGUUUGAGAAUCUCCUUCAAAACUACCGAUACAAAGUGAUUAGAGCAUAUAAUAGUCUAUGUGUGUUCACCAUCUUUGAUUUCUCUUUGAUAUAUUUGAAUGAUCUUAUCAAAUCUCUCGAUGAUAAGCAAGUGGCCGAUAAGAGAUCUUAUGUUGUGGGAUAUGCAUAUAUCAAGAACCUCAUUGAUUUUCACCUUGCACACCUUGGGCUAAUUGACGUCGAGAUCGCUAAAGACUACAAAAAACCUAGGAAGAAUCCAAAUGCUAUUUUGGACGUUGUGGAUCUUGAGCAGUAUGAUGAUGGUGAAAUUAUUUUGAAUCCUUUGGGUGUUGUCUUUCAAGGGAAGAAGGUGAAUGGAAAACAAAAGAAGCACUUCCUUUAUACGAAUUUGAAAGACAUGUAUUCUACAAAAAAAAAAUUGACGCAUCGUUUUCUUAGAAUUGCAAAGUGAAAGAAGAAUAGUGAUGGUGAUAGGAAGGAAAUAAGAAAUGUAGUCUGCUGGUAUUUAGAAAUCAGGAAGACACUGAUGGAUGUAGUGAUGACAUUACCAAUUGUUCGAAGACUUGAAUAUUCUUCACAAAGAGGGGGGGUGUAGAGAAUAAGAAGUUGUGAAGAUAUUCACUAUCCAAGUCUUUUGUACAUAAUGUUGAAUAGUCUCUUGUAGCGUAUAUCAAAGGUUACACACCUUUGAUAUAUCUAUGUAUUUUAGAGAUCAUGUUUGUUUGUAAUACAUUGAAUGUCGAAGUCUUUCGAUACUUUUUGUGUCUAUUGAGGGUACUAUAUAUAGUAUUGAAGUAUAGGCUAUCGGGUACGCUUUCAGAACACUUUCUUAGAACUCACUCUUUGUAACGACGUAAACUUUUUAAACAAAAUUUUCAUUUUUAAUCACAUACUUUUCAUAAUAUAUUGUAUAAAAAUAUCACUUGUUCAAUUUACAAAACACAAAUCCAUGUUUGAUUAAUUAAUAAUCCAGGAUCCUCAAAACGUAACUCUUUCUCUGGUAUGUACAAUCAAGUCGGUGCCAUCCCGCGAUCCUGAGAAACUUGAAAAACAUAACACAUAACACGGUAAACAUGAAGCUUAGUGAGUUCCCUAAAAUACCACAUACAACAAAUUAUCCACUCGAGGCUAUAACUCUUUAAGACCCUCCGGUCAAUGUGUCUCAGUGGGACCCUCCAGUCCCACAACUCUGAUGGACCCUCCGGUCCUAAAUCUGAUUAACACAUUACAUAGCAUAUAUAUCACACAGGAAAAAUGCAUAACUCAAGUAAGAACAUAAGACCCUCUGGUCACACAUCAAUACCACUCAAGGUAAAGUAUAGUGAGAAGACUCACCUCGGAUGAUGAAUAGCUCCUAUAGACACUACUGCUACGCACCGGCCUCUAUCUCUAUGCCAAACCCACAAUUAUCUCAAUUAGGAACUAUGUCCAUCCUUACACUUAUUAGGUCUAAGAUGGACCACCUACCAGCCCAUCAAUGCCCUAAACCCAUUAUGCCCGCCAAGGCCUAAUAAUAAAUGGGCUUCCCCGAGGCCCAAACCUCAAUCUUCAUGACAAGCCCAACGCAAGGGCCCAAGACAUAACUAUACUAUUCUCUACUCAUAGUCUCAAUUACAAAAGCCCAAAGAUCUAGGCCUAACCUGUAAGGCCCACAAUAUAGUCUAGCCCAAAAGUCCACAGAGGGGUUACGUGGGGCGUACCCCUUUGGUACGCUCAGCGUACCAAAGCGCUCAUGAAAUUGAUCGGGGACCUUCACUCAGUACGUGGGGCGUACUGGAAUUACGCGGCGCCUACUCCCUGAAAUACUUAAUCCACUCUCCUGGUCUUUACCCGUUAAGACCUUAACUCAUCUCUCAGAUGUAGACUUCCUAAGGGCUCUUACUCCUUAAAGUCAGGGACUUUAAGCCUUUGCAUGGCUGAUAUGGUCUCAAACACACAAAACACUCAUUCUCUUUUCUCAUUAAGCUCUUAUCUCAUUCAUAACUUGGCUGUAACAUCCACGAUCUCAUUUUUACAAAACCAUACCAUCAAAAACACUCAAAAGGACAUGCAAUGGGCUUUGGAGUUUAACAACUCAUAAAGUCUCAAGCUUUGGGACCAAAAACCCUAAAAUGGACCAUAACAUGCACAAAACAAAAAGAAUGGGAAAGCUUUGAGCUUUAUACCUUCAAAUGAUGCUCUAGCCCUAGGAAAGCUUAGAUCCAAAGCCUAGACUUCAACUCCUUUCUCUUCUGUGCGCUCCUUAACUCCAAAGAGCCCACAAGAACACAUAUAAGCUCAACAUGGCCACCCACAAGCUCAAGAACGGAUAUUAGGGUUUGAGAGGGUUUAUUAAUUGAGGAAGGUUGCCAUAAAUGAGACCAUCUCAUUCUUUAAAUAGGGACACUACUCGAAUUAGGGUUUUAUUUAUGUGCCUAGUACGCCCAGCGUACUAGGUGGUCCUCGCAUCCAAUCCACACUCAUAGGUAUCCUAAGCAUACCCCAACUUAUGCCCAGUAUACCCGAUUGCCACCCAUUUCUCAAUAAGGACCAAACUUGCCAUAACUUCCAAACUCUCAUAGCUUCUUUGAUAUAACUCUGAUUCCAAAGAUCCUCAUAUCUACAGAAAGGUGAUGAGAUGCCCUACGCUUUAGCAACUCGCUGCAACCCAAGAUCUCCUCAUGUCCGGUUCGUGGCUCACGAACCCUUAUCACAAACAAUCCGAAACAGGAUGUUACAAUUCUCCCCCACUUGAAUUAGAUUUCGCCCUCGAAAUCGCUCCUUACCAAAACAUAGACCGAUCCCAACAAACCGAGAUGCAUCACUGAAGGUCCACAAACCAUACAACAAUCACUUCCAAAGAUACUCGAUCCCGUGUGUACAAGGUCCAACAAACCUUCACCCCUCUCACAAGAGCCUGUGAAGGGUGACUUUGUCAUUUUUCCAAGUAAGCAUGAUUCGCAACUAUCAUCUGACUUUAGGUCAAAUGAUUCCAAGACUCCAUCCUUUUGGAGUUGGCCUAUGCGUUUCUUGCUUAUAUGUCCAAGACGACAAUGCCAUAAUGAUGCUUUAUCCAAGUUAUUAUUAUUAAUAGAAUCAAUACACAUAACAUUAUUUCCUAAGUUAUCUAUAACAGAUACAGCUUCAUACACACCAUCACAAGGUAAUGCUUUAAAAUAAAGAACAUUAUUAAAGAAAGCAUCAAUAGAACCAACUUCAUUAUUAAAUGAAAAGGUAAAACCUUGUUUAUACAAUGAAUGAAAGGAAAUAAUAUUUCUUUCCAUUUCUGGCGAAUAACAACAUUUAUUCAAAUCUAAACUAAACCCACUACUUAGCGAUAAAGUAUAA